This 497-nucleotide ribosomal RNA is filed under the name uncultured bacterium. RNAcentral describes it as "partial 16S ribosomal RNA". It matches the Rfam family "Bacterial small subunit ribosomal RNA", at positions 28 to 507 of the family's 1533-position model. The record is from RNAcentral.
GAUGAACGCUGGCGGCGUGCCUAAUACAUGCAAGUCGAGCGAACAGACGAGGAGCUUGCUCCUCUGACGUUAGCGGCGGACGGGUGAGUAACACGUGGAUAACCUACCUAUAAGACUGGGAUAACUUCGGGAAACCGGAGCUAAUACCGGAUAAUAUAUUGAACCGCAUGGUUCAAUAGUGAAAGACGGUUUUGCUGUCACUUAUAGAUGGAUCCGCGCCGCAUUAGCUAGUUGGUAAGGUAACGGCUUACCAAGGCAACGAUGCGUAGCCGACCUGAGAGGUGGGGGGGCCAGCUGAGGAGGGGGGCACGCCCAGGCCGACGACGGGGGGGAGCAGGCGGGAAUUUGCCGAGAUGGGCGAAAGCUUGACGGGUAACCGCCGCGGGAGGGAGAAAGGUUUGAGGAUCGUAAAAUCCUUUUUUAGGGGAAGAACAAAUGUGAAAGUAAUUGUGCCUUGCUGGCCGGUACCGAAUAAGAAAGCCACGGCUAACUCCGUG